RNAcentral lists this transfer RNA (75 nucleotides) under Nanobdellota archaeon. RNAcentral describes it as "tRNA-Lys". It matches the Rfam family "tRNA". Rfam says of the family: Transfer RNA (tRNA) molecules are approximately 80 nucleotides in length. Their secondary structure includes four short double-helical elements and three loops (D, anti-codon, and T loops). Lineage: Archaea; Nanobdellati; Nanobdellota. RNAcentral also lists the same sequence under 1 other name. The record is from RNAcentral.
GGGUCUAUGGCUCAGCCUGGUAGAGCAGCCGGCUCUUAACCGGCAGGUCCUGGGUUCGAAGUCCCAGUGGACCCA